This 433-nucleotide ribosomal RNA is filed under the name uncultured bacterium. Its description in RNAcentral is "partial 16S ribosomal RNA". It matches the Rfam family "Bacterial small subunit ribosomal RNA", at positions 29 to 507 of the family's 1533-position model. The record is from RNAcentral.
AACGAACGCUGGCGGCAUGCCUAACACAUGCAAGUCGAACGAGACCUUCGGGUCUAGUGGCGCACGGGUGCGUAACGCGUGGGAACCUGCCCUUAGGUUCGGAAUAACUCCCCGAAAGGGGUGCUAAUACCGGAUAAUGUCUUCGGACCAAAGAUUUAUCGCCUUUGGAUGGGCCCGCGUUGGAUUAGCUAGUUGGUAGGGUAAAAGCCUACCAAGGCGACGAUCCAUAGCUGGCCUGAGAGGAUGAUCAGCCACACUGGGACUGAGACACGGCCCAGACUCCUACGGGAGGGAGCAGUGGGGAAUAUUGGACAAUGGGCGAAAGCCUGACCCAGCAAUGCCGCGUGAGUGAUGAAGGCCUUAGGGUUGUAAAGCUCUUUUACCCGGGAUGAUAAUGACAGUACCGGGAGAAUAAGCGCCGGCUAACUCCGUG